UACAAUUUAGACAGUUCCUGAGGUGG
This 26-nucleotide non-coding RNA is filed under the name Rattus norvegicus (Norway rat). The record is from RNAcentral. Lineage: Eukaryota; Metazoa; Chordata; Mammalia; Rodentia; Muridae.